This 2402-nucleotide long non-coding RNA is filed under the name Mus musculus (house mouse). Its description in RNAcentral is "long non-coding RNA chr4:108562247-108564649". Lineage: Eukaryota; Metazoa; Chordata; Mammalia; Rodentia; Muridae. The record is from RNAcentral.
AGAAUAUUAUUAUCUGGUGAACUUCAUUCAUUCCAUCCAGUUAUAUCAAGUGUAUGUAUAUAAGAUUUUAUAAAAAUGUGCUUAUGUACUGUUUUAACAAACACAGCAAGUUAGAGAGGGAACUGAUGCUUGUCUACUAGGCUAGCGAACCACUUAAAUAUAGAAAACUAAUUUGACUAGACUUAGAAGAAAACUAGGAAAUUGAAAUGAUAACUUUUCCACACAGGAAUCCUAAUUUCAGCGUUGCUCACAAAACUAAUAAUCCUGUAAACCACUGGAGGCAACUUUCAUUUUUCUAGCUUCGUGUUUCUCUUAGACAUCAGGAUGCUUAAUAUAAGAAAGGAACUGAAAAAUAUUUCCUCUUUCUGUUUUUAUUAUUGCAUAUGUGUAAGUAUGAUGUAUGUGGAUGCUCAUGAAGAUCCAAGCACUGGAGUGGCUUCUCAUUCCCCCAUCAUCAUACCCUGGGUAUCAAAUUCAGGUCAUUAGGCUCGGUGUCAUUUUCUGAUUUUCAUUUAAACUCAGAUUAUACUACUAAAGAGUAACAAAAGGAGGCUAAUGAGGUUGUUCUAAUUACAGCCUACUAACGAAAGCCGGGCAUUUCUUUUCCUAUGAAAACAAUUUUAGUGUUUUUCAAGUGUUCUAAAAUCAAAUUAUUGGAGCUAGAGCAAGAGCUCAAUGGUUAAUCUCCAUGAUUUGCUGAUCAAUCAUGAGUGGUGAUGACUCCAGAAUCCAUGUCAGAUGACUCAUGAACACCUGUAACUUAGCCAGCAUCAGGGGAUUCACCACCUUUUCCUGGACCCUGUCAGUACAUAUACAUACAUAUUCAGAGACAUGCACAUAUACAUACACACAAAUCUUUUUUAAAAAUCUCAGUAACAAAACUAAUAUUAUUGCAUUUUAUAUAACUUUUUUUUUUCUUUUUCAAGACAGGGUUUCUCUGUGUAGCCCUGAUUGUCCUGUCUCACUCUGCAGACCAGGCUCACCUCAAAGAAACCUGCCUCUGCCUCUUGAGUGUUGGGAUUAAAGGCUUGUUGUGCUACCACUGCACGCCCUAUUAAUUUUUUCCUAAAGCUUGCAUCAGCACAAAGACUAUAUACAUAUGUACAAUCAAGAUGUAGAACAUACUUCUAAGACUAUGUGAUAACCAAAGUACUUUAAAGCUACUAUUCAAAGGUAAUAUGUAAAACAGAUAAUAGAAAUUUGUCCCUAAAAUCUUAUCUCUGCAAACUUGUGGUUUCCCAAAUUGGUCUCUAGUAGUAAACAUGCCAUACUCACCGUUAUGUCAUCUGUUAGUAUUAAAUAGCAGAGAUACUAUGUUUCCUGCUGCCCAUUGAUCCAGAUUCUACUACAUUGAAUAUAUGCAGGAAAGGUUUCUCUUAAAAUAUUGUUGGGAUCUUUUUACUGUAGGUUUGUUACCUAAAUCUACCUUAAUAGUAAAUAUUUUUUGCGCAGUACUGGUGGUACUUGGUUGGCCUGUGGCAUGGGUCAUGCAGCAAGAGUUAUCUUUACACCUAAGUCACCUCAGCAAGAAAUAAGCUUUGAGGAAUUUUAGCCAGACCUGAGUGAGGAUGCUUGUAUUUACUUUUAAAAGUCACAAGAUAUAAUUCUAUCUAUAAUCCAUAAUAGGUCUUACAAUUUUAUUAAUUUAUGUAUCAAGGUUAGAGGAAUCACUGAAGAAUAUGAAAGCACAACUGUUAGAAUUGCUAUAAAAGUACCCCAGUCAACAGAGAACAAUAGAAAUAUUUAUCCUGUAACCAGAUACGGUUCCCUGAGAAGCUGGAUCCUAAUAAGGCUGCUGAUAUUUAUAAUUUCUCCUAGGAGUAGAGUUACAAAGUCAGUCAUUUCUCCCAUCUUAAAGGAGAAAAGGUAAGUACAGGCAAAAGGAGCUGUUCUAGUUAGGAUCUUAAUACUCUCAAUCAAGUAUCAGUUCCUAUGGACUUGUGUCUUUGAUUUCUCUUACCUUUGUGAAUUGCUAAUUCCAAUAUUUACGAGGUGACCUGUAUUACUAGUCAAGUAUUGGCAUUGCCUGUGGCACUGCUGUUUGUUCUCAUAUCUACUCAUACAAAGUCUCUGGGCAUCUAAAUCCUCCACGACUGUCAGUUGUAGCCUAGAUCACUAUGUUGGACUCCACUAGUCCCUAUUUUCUCCCCUAUAGAAAGACCACAACUGUCUCAUACUUACUAAAUUGAGUGUGUUAUUUUCAUUCCUACCACAACCCUUUCACUCCCAUACCUUCUAAAAGCAUUCUCUUAUGUUAUCUAGCAAUUUAGGUCAAAACCAGAAACAGUGCUCUGCUUCAGCCUGUGUUGAGAUUACAGGUGUGAACCAUGAUACCUAGCUUGUAUGAAGGAUGUUAAGUGUAAUCAUGUUGAAUUGUUUAAUGAACCUGAAUUAAAAAAUUC